GGAGAGCUGCCCGAGCGGCCUAAGGGAACAGUCUUGAAAACUGUCGUCACGGGGAACCGUGACCGAGGGUUCGAAUCCCUCGCUCUCCG
Molecule: transfer RNA, 89 nt
Filed under: Streptomyces sp. 846.5
Lineage: Bacteria; Bacillati; Actinomycetota; Actinomycetes; Kitasatosporales; Streptomycetaceae
Also listed under: 4 other names
Rfam family: tRNA
About the family: Transfer RNA (tRNA) molecules are approximately 80 nucleotides in length.
Source: Rfam by way of RNAcentral